UAGGAUUAAAGGCUUGCACCUCCAUGCCUAGUUUCUAACUUACAUUUCUUUCACCAAUUUAGUAACUGCUUAUUGAGGCCAGGAGCUGGCUGCCAGGGAUAUGGCAGUGACCAAGACAAGCUGCUGCUUCCUGUGCCCAGAAAGCUUACAUUCCAGGGUGAGAAACAGAUGGAACCAGAAGAGCCAUGAGAUACAGUGAUCAAAGAUGAGCAGAACUGUGGGGCGUGACGCUCCUCAUUUUAAAGGCAAGUCUGUCUCCUCUGCGGCUGGCAGCUCCCCUCCUCUGCUGCCCUCUGCCCUUCCUAGCUUGCCCGUUCCUUCUCUCUUCCUAGUUCCCUGCCCUAUAUUCACUACUCACAUCCAGAAUUCCCCACUUGCAGCCCCUGCCCCAGAGCAUCCAAACUCGAACUCUUUGUUUUUAUCCCACGUACUGGACACAUUCUGGGCAGCAGCUGGAAGGAGGCUGCAUGAUCUACUUCCUAGAGCAAGUAGGCACAGGCUGUUGAGGUUCCCAGCUGAGGUUGGCUUUGUGAGAAUGGGGUAUCUGGCAUCCUCAGGGAACGCAACAGUAGUAUCCCCACUCUAGGUCAGGACUUACAGAUCUUGAGACUUGCCUGAAAGAGGUAGGAAGCCAGUAAAGGGGGACAAGGAAAGGAGACCUGGGGCUUCCCUGGGUUUGCUCCACAAUAAUAGGUCUCUGAAGGGUGAAGCUGAGCCAUAGGACAUGAAGCCAGAGUUUCCCAGAGCAGCCUUAUCUCUGCCAUGUGCUGGCCUGAUGAUCAUGGACAGCAUCUCCUUUUGUUGCCUUUCUGGGCCUCAGUUUUCCCAUCUGACCAUUGGGGACUGUAGCAAUACCCACCACACAGACUAGUACACCUAACACAUGACAGCAGUCGUGUAGGGAAGCUUUCCAAGGCCUCUGCUGUGCAGGCCAUAGCAAGGUCCUGUCUAGGAAAUUCUCUAGACAGUAUGUCUCCAUCUGGGUCCUUCUAGGCCUUGAGCCCCAGAGGUAGUGAAUUAUUCAUGCUCUGGCCACUGCCAGCAGCGAAGGCUCAGGAGGCCUCCAAGAGACCAGAGUUUUGGUGACAGCAAUCCUCUUGGAGGACAGCCAGACCAUUCCAGAGGAACACCAGGAAAUAGCCUGUCUCAAGGGUGCCACCCUCCUGCACCCACUGUCCACAUCUCUGGUCACUGAAGUCUCAUUCUCCAGACUGCAGCGUCUUGGAUACCCAUGCUUCAGCUCAGGUGGCAAAGUCUGUGAGGAAGGGCAGCGUACCAGCCAUGCCUUUGAUCAGCUGAGCCGAGUGCUCAGCACAGCAGUGCUUGAAGCCUGAGUAUAGGAGCUUCCUGGAUGUGCCUGCCCUGGAGGGUGCAGCACUGAGAACAAGUGGGUCAGGUGGCUGGCAUCUCUUGCUGAGAAGAAACAGAAUCUCAGGCUGUCUACUCAUGCGAGCCUUCUGCCCAGCACCCUCACCUCAGAACACACACGUCUCCGGUCUGGGGCCCAGUCUUUUGAGCUAGGUUACUGAGCUGGGACAUUGAAGACAGGGGUAAGGAACAGUGCGCCGAGAGGAUAAAGGAUCCUGGUGUUUCACACUAGACGUGGACAGCUGGGGGCCUAAGGCACAGAGCACCAAAGCAUGCUCCUCGGGUGAACGAACACCUAGAGCCUUGCUGGGACCUCCUGACUCCGCCCCCGGAGCGGCGGGUUAUUUGCAUGGCUCCGCCUCAGAGCUGCCAUUGGCUACGGCGGCGGGAGGCCGGGCCUGAGUGGCUGCGCCGCCGGGGAGGCGGGGGCGGGGCAGGCGCCGAGUGUUGGAGAUGCUGCCACUGCUGCUGCUUCUGCUGCUGCUGCUGCGGGACGGGUUCGGGUCCGAGUCUGGCUUGGCGGGCACGGGGCGUGGGACGGCCCAGGGCGCGGUGGCAGCAGCAGGAGCACACUGAGAACCAUGUCCAGGAAGAAGACCCCAAAGAGCAAGGCGGGGAGUGUGCCUGCUGCCUCGACGCUGCCCACCGCCGCCAAUCGGCCCCGUCUGUCAGGUCCCAGGACUGCGCGUCCUGGCCCGGAGGCGCUACCCAACGGGCCCCCACAGUCCGGCCGGCCCUCACUUGGUGGCACUGGAGACUUCUACGACGUUGCUUUCAAGGUCAUGCUGGUGGGGGAUUCCGGUGUGGGGAAGACCUGCCUGCUGGUGCGUUUCAAGGAUGGAGCUUUCUUGGCUGGUACCUUCAUCUCCACUGUGGGCAUCGACUUCCGGAACAAAGUCCUGGACGUGGAUGGCAUGAAGGUGAAGCUGCAGAUCUGGGACACAGCUGGUCAGGAGCGGUUCCGAAGCGUCACCCAUGCCUACUACCGGGACGCUCAUGCACUGUUGCUGCUCUAUGACAUCACCAACAAAGACUCCUUCGACAACAUCCAGGCCUGGUUGACAGAGAUCCAGGAAUAUGCCCAGCAGGACGUGGUGCUCAUGCUGCUGGGAAACAAGGUUGAUUCUGCCCAAGAACGCGUGGUAAAGAGGGAAGAUGGGGAGAAAUUGGCCAAGGAGUAUGGGCUGCCUUUCAUGGAAACCAGCGCAAAGACCGGCCUCAACGUCGACUUGGCUUUCACGGCCAUAGCAAAG
RNA transcript from Peromyscus leucopus (white-footed mouse), 2621 nucleotides. It is a transcript of the gene named RAB26, member RAS oncogene family, with no coding region annotated. NCBI's taxonomy places the organism in Eukaryota, Metazoa, Chordata, Mammalia, Rodentia, Cricetidae. The record is from RefSeq and is a predicted model, not a curated record. The transcript is spliced from 9 exons.